RNAcentral lists this ribosomal RNA (431 nucleotides) under uncultured bacterium. RNAcentral's name for it is "partial 16S ribosomal RNA". It matches the Rfam family "Bacterial small subunit ribosomal RNA", at positions 29 to 507 of the family's 1533-position model. The record is from RNAcentral.
AACGAACGCUGGCGGCAGGCCUAACACAUGCCAGUCGAGCGCGCCUUCGGGUGAGCGGCGGACGGGUGAGUAACGCGUGGGAAUAUGCCCUUCUCUACGGAAUAGUCCUGGGAAACUGGGGGUAAUACCGUAUACGCCCUUUGGGGGAAAGAUUUAUCGGGGAAGGAUUAGCCCGCGUUGGAUUAGGUAGUUGGUGGGGUAAUGGCCUACCAAGCCGACGAUCCAUAGCUGGUUUGAGAGGAUGAUCAGCCACACUGGGACUGAGACACGGCCCAGACUCCUACGGGAGGCAGCAGUGGGGAAUCUUAGACAAUGGGGGCAACCCUGAUCGAGCCAUGCCGCGUGAGUGAUGAAGGCCUUAGGGUUGUAAAGCUCUUUCAGCUGGGAAGAUAAUGACGGUACCAGCAGAAGAAGCCCCGGCUAACUCCGUG